AGAGUUUGAUCAUGGCUCAGAUUGAACGCUGGCGGCAUGCCUUACACAUGCAAGUCGAACGGUAACGGGCCUUCGGGUGCCGACGAGUGGCGAACGGGUGAGUAAUGCAUCGGAACGUACCUUUCAGUGGGGAUAACGUAGCGAAAGUUACGCUAAUACCGCAUAUUCUGUGAGCAGGAAAGCAGGGGAUCGCAAGACCUUGCGCUGAUUGAGCGGCCGAUGUCAGAUUAGCUAGUUGGUGAGGUAAAGGCUCACCAAGGCGACGAUCUGUAGCGGGGUCUGAGAGGAUGAUCCGCCACACUGGAACUGAGACACGGUCCAGACUCCUACGGGAGGCAGCAGUGGGGAAUUUUGGACAAUGGGGGCAACCCUGAUCCAGCCAUGCCGCGUGAGUGAAGAAGGCCUUCGGGUUGUAAAGCUCUUUCGGCCGGGAAGAAAUCGCAUGGGUUAAUACCCUGUGCGGAUGACGGUACCGGCAUAAGAAGCACCGGCUAACUACGUG
RNAcentral lists this ribosomal RNA (502 nucleotides) under uncultured bacterium. Its description in RNAcentral is "bacterial SSU rRNA". It matches the Rfam family "Bacterial small subunit ribosomal RNA", at positions 8 to 507 of the family's 1533-position model. The record is from RNAcentral.